This 737-nucleotide ribosomal RNA is filed under the name Streptococcus sp. HFH0040. Its description in RNAcentral is "bacterial SSU rRNA". It matches the Rfam family "Bacterial small subunit ribosomal RNA", at positions 74 to 797 of the family's 1533-position model. The record is from RNAcentral. Lineage: Bacteria; Bacillati; Bacillota; Bacilli; Lactobacillales; Streptococcaceae.
AGGAGCUUGCUCUUCUUGGAUGAGUUGCGAACGGGUGAGUAACGCGUAGGUAACCUGCCUUGUAGCGGGGGAUAACUAUUGGAAACGAUAGCUAAUACCGCAUAACAAUGGAUGACACAUGUCAUUUAUUUGAAAGGGGCAAUUGCUCCACUACAAGAUGGACCUGCGUUGUAUUAGCUAGUAGGUGAGGUAACGGCUCACCUAGGCGACGAUACAUAGCCGACCUGAGAGGGUGAUCGGCCACACUGGGACUGAGACACGGCCCAGACUCCUACGGGAGGCAGCAGUAGGGAAUCUUCGGCAAUGGGGGCAACCCUGACCGAGCAACGCCGCGUGAGUGAAGAAGGUUUUCGGAUCGUAAAGCUCUGUUGUAAGUCAAGAACGAGUGUGAGAGUGGAAAGUUCACACUGUGACGGUAGCUUACCAGAAAGGGACGGCUAACUACGUGCCAGCAGCCGCGGUAAUACGUAGGUCCCGAGCGUUGUCCGGAUUUAUUGGGCGUAAAGCGAGCGCAGGCGGUUUGAUAAGUCUGAAGUUAAAGGCUGUGGCUCAACCAUAGUUCGCUUUGGAAACUGUCAAACUUGAGUGCAGAAGGGGAGAGUGGAAUUCCAUGUGUAGCGGUGAAAUGCGUAGAUAUAUGGAGGAACACCGGUGGCGAAAGCGGCUCUCUGGUCUGUAACUGACGCUGAGGCUCGAAAGCGUGGGGAGCGAACAGGAUUAGAUACCCUGGUAGUCCA